This 908-nucleotide long non-coding RNA is filed under the name Phoenix dactylifera (date palm). RNAcentral's name for it is "long non-coding RNA (PDAC_LNC005008)". Lineage: Eukaryota; Viridiplantae; Streptophyta; Magnoliopsida; Arecales; Arecaceae. The record is from RNAcentral.
AAAUGGGAAUGCAAAUGACCACACCAGUGAGUGUUCGUCCGGAACUGGGGAAGCAGUAUUCUGCUAAAUAAAGGCAGAAAUCCAUCUUCCCUUGUUACAUGGCUACCUCCUACCCCUGAAACCUUAAAGGUGAACUUUGAUGCUGCUGCAACAUCAGAUAAAGCGCUGCUGGAUUUAUCAUUAGACAUAGGGAAGGCCAAUUAAUUAGAGCUGGUGGAAAGAUGCUGCCGCCCUCUGCGAUCCCCUAUGCUGAACUUGUUGCAGCAUGGGUGGGAUUGCGAACGACGUGUUAUCGAUUUAAAUGCAUCAAAUAUAUGGCUGGAGGGCGACUUCAUAAAGGUGAUAUCAUGGCUUGCUAACUCUUCCUUGGGCAGGUCCUUGCAGAUGCCACUACCUAAAGAUAUUUUACACUGGAAAGCAAACUGGAACAGAUUCAAAUCAUCACACGCAUUUCAGGAGGCAAACAGGGCGGCGACUUCAUUGCAAAAUUGGCUCUACAAGGGGACUGCAGCUGGGGAAGUGGAGAUCCUAUUCACCGAGAUUUACUGUUUAUUUUGCAGGAUGACGAGGUUGGCAUAGGCUACCGGAGAUCAUAGCCGAUAGCAAGAGGAGAAAGGAUCAAUACUUGCUGCUGCAUAGCUCGUUUACUGUAGUAGACGGGACGAUACAAGGAAUUCGUUACAAGAUAGGUUUGCUCAAUGGAUGGUGACUCGCUAAACACUGUAUGAAGAAGCGGUAACAGGUCCAUAGAAGCUUCUUCGUCCAACGCAGGAACCAUUAUACCUGUAGACUGUUACAUUUUGCUAGCAGAUCUGAUUUAAUCUGUAACUAAGACAGUGGGGUGUCGAUUAGCAGUGAAUGGAUUGUAAAUUAUAAACAUGGGUUGUAAGAGUGUAUGGACUGAGUUG